AUUGAACGCUGGCGACAGGCCUAACACAUGCAAGUCGAGCGGAUGAAGGGAGCUUGCUCCUGGAUUCAGCGGCGGACGGGUGAGUAAUGCCUAGGAAUCUGCCUGGUAGUGGGGGAUAACGUCCGGAAACGGGCGCUAAUACCGCAUACGUCCUGAGGGAGAAAGUGGGGGAUCUUCGGACCUCACGCUAUCAGAUGAGCCUAGGUCGGAUUAGCUAGUUGGUGGGGUAAAGGCCUACCAAGGCGACGAUCCGUAACUGGUCUGAGAGGAUGAUCAGUCACACUGGAACUGAGACACGGUCCAGACUCCUACGGGAGGCAGCAGUGGGGAAUAUUGGACAAUGGGCGAAAGCCUGAUCCAGCCAUGCCGCGUGUGUGAAGAAGGUCUUCGGAUUGUAAAGCACUUUAAGUUGGGAGGAAGAGCAGUAAGUUAAUACCUUGCUGUUUUGACGUUACCAACAGAAUAAGCACCGGCUAACUUCGUG
RNAcentral lists this ribosomal RNA (484 nucleotides) under uncultured bacterium. RNAcentral's name for it is "partial 16S ribosomal RNA". It matches the Rfam family "Bacterial small subunit ribosomal RNA", at positions 30 to 507 of the family's 1533-position model. The record is from RNAcentral.